Mus caroli (Ryukyu mouse) is the source of this 784-nucleotide non-coding RNA. The record is from RefSeq and is a predicted model, not a curated record. Lineage: Eukaryota; Metazoa; Chordata; Mammalia; Rodentia; Muridae.
UGUCACCUCAAAGGUGACAAUCAGCUGCCUCCUGGGAUAACUUAGCAAAGCUCUCCAAAGACCAUGGAACCCGCUUCCCUUUGCUUUCCCCAAAGGGAAAACAACUGCCUUCAAGGUUGUACCGAGAAAAUAAAGCAGGCGGCCCAGUGACGGAUUCGAGAAGUUGGCGUUUUCCCGAAGAUUAAAAGAUAAUAACACUUCUAUUAGGAUCACUCGGCCACGCUGUAUUGAUCUCAUCAGGGAAGCCACCGCAGGUCUCAUAUGAGCAGAGCAAGUCCUGGAAUUAAUCACCGGGGUUUUAUUAUGGUUCAUAGGGUGUCUCAUUCAAGCCACAUCGUUUGCAAUAUUUAUUAUCCUGCUCCCUGGUCAUCGUUAAGAGCAAGUGGGGCUGGUGGAGCUGAGCCUGCUGGGAUAGAAAAAGGAGCCAUUCUUCAAAGAUCUGUAGAAGGGGAACAACAACCUACCCCUGAAGGCUGCAGAAGGCAAGCAUAAAUCAACAUUUGCUGUACACAAAACUGGGCUCAAAUAGUCUCUCAGAAAGAACUGCUGCUCUUCUCCUUGGAGAUCCUCCUUGACCAACCCAAGAAAAAUGCCUAAGAGAAAUGGGCUGACUGAAAUCUCAAGCCAAAGAUGGACAAGAGUGGGGUUUAUGACCGGUGAAAGCCUGGGUUCUUUCAUUUCUGCUGGAGUCCCUUGUGCAGCCGCUGUUGAACUUCACGGACCAUACUACGUAAGCCAACCUAAUGAACCACCUUUGUAAUAUAUAUCUGUCCUGCUGGUUCAA